AUUGAACGCUGGCGGCAGGCCUAACACAUGCAAGUCGAGCGAGCAGCGGACUGAUGAUUAAUGCCUGGGCAUUGGCCAGUCGAGUGUGAUAACGGUUGGAAACUGCUGCUAAUACAGCAUAGUACUGGAUUCCCCAGGGAGGAUUAGCUAGUUGUUGAGGUAAUGGCUCACCAAGGCGACGACCCCUAGCUGGUCUGAGAGGCUGAUCAGCCACACGGGAACUGAGACACGGUCCAGACUCCUACGGGAGGCAGCAGUGGGGAAUAUUGCACAAUGGGUGCAACCCUGAUGCAGCCAUGCCGCGUGUGGGAAGAAGGCCUUCGGGUUGUAAAGCACUUUCAGCGAGGAGGCGUUACUCGCAGAAGAAGCACCGGCUAACUCCGUGCCAGCAGCCGCGGUAAUUC
This 404-nucleotide ribosomal RNA is filed under the name uncultured bacterium. RNAcentral describes it as "partial 16S ribosomal RNA". It matches the Rfam family "Bacterial small subunit ribosomal RNA", at positions 30 to 526 of the family's 1533-position model. The record is from RNAcentral.